RNAcentral lists this ribosomal RNA (725 nucleotides) under uncultured bacterium. RNAcentral describes it as "bacterial SSU rRNA". It matches the Rfam family "Bacterial small subunit ribosomal RNA", at positions 771 to 1501 of the family's 1533-position model. The record is from RNAcentral.
AACAGGAUUAGAUACCCUGGUAGUCCACGCCCUAAACGAUGUCUACUAGUUGUCGGGUCUUAAUUGACUUGGUAACGCAGCUAACGCGUGAAGUAGACCGCCUGGGGAGUACGGUCGCAAGAUUAAAACUCAAAGGAAUUGACGGGGACCCGCACAAGCGGUGGAUGAUGUGGAUUAAUUCGAUGCAACGCGAAAAACCUUACCUACCCUUGACAUGUCAGGAACCUCUGAGAGAUUGGAGGGUGCCCGAAAGGGAGCCUGAACACAGGUGCUGCAUGGCUGUCGUCAGCUCGUGUCGUGAGAUGUUGGGUUAAGUCCCGCAACGAGCGCAACCCUUGUCAUUAGUUGCUACGCAAGAGCACUCUAAUGAGACUGCCGGUGACAAACCGGAGGAAGGUGGGGAUGACGUCAAGUCCUCAUGGCCCUUAUGGGUAGGGCUUCACACGUCAUACAAUGGUACAUACAGAGGGCCGCCAACCCGCGAGGGGGAGCUAAUCCCAGAAAGUGUAUCGUAGUCCGGAUCGCAGUCUGCAACUCGACUGCGUGAAGUUGGAAUCGCUAGUAAUCGCGGAUCAGCAUGUCGCGGUGAAUACGUUCCCGGGUCUUGUACACACCGCCCGUCACACCAUGGGAGCGGGUUUUACCAGAAGUAGGUAGCUUAACCGCAAGGAGGGCGCUUACCACGGUAGGAUUCGUGACUGGGGUGAAGUCGUAACAAGGUAACC